UUGGAGGGCAAGUCUGGUGCCAGCAGCCGCGGUAAUUCCAGCUCCAAUAGCGUAUAUUAAAGUUGUUGCAGUUAAAAAGCUCGUAGUUGAAUUUCGGGAUUAGUACGUUGGUCGUGCCUUCGGUACGUACUGGUGUUACUGAUUCCUACCUUCUGACGAACCAUCAUGUCAUUAAUUUGGUGUGGUGGGGAAUCAGGACUGUUACUUUGAAAAAAUUAGAGUGUUUAAAGCAGGCUCGCGCUUGAAUACAUUAGCAUGGAAUAAUGAAAUAGGGCGUUCGAUCCUAUUUUGUUGGUUUCUAGGAUUGACGUAAUGAUUAAUAGGGAUAGUUGGGGGCAUUAGUAUUCAAUUGUCAGAGGUGGAAUUCUUGGAUUUAUUGAAGACUAACUACUGCGAAAGCAUUUGCCAAGGAUGUUUUCAUUAAUCAAGAACGAAAGUUAGGGGAUCGAAGACGAUCAGAUACCGUCGUAGUCUUAACCAUAAACUAUGCCGACUAGGGAUCGGAUGAUGUUAUUUUUAAUGACUCAUUCGGCGCCUUACGGGAAAC
This 547-nucleotide ribosomal RNA is filed under the name uncultured Glomus. Its description in RNAcentral is "SSU rRNA". It matches the Rfam family "Eukaryotic small subunit ribosomal RNA", at positions 548 to 1098 of the family's 1831-position model. Lineage: Eukaryota; Fungi; Glomeromycota; Glomeromycetes; Glomerales; Glomeraceae. The record is from RNAcentral.